Molecule: long non-coding RNA, 2223 nt
Organism: Brassica napus (rape)
Lineage: Eukaryota; Viridiplantae; Streptophyta; Magnoliopsida; Brassicales; Brassicaceae
Exons: 2
Source: RefSeq, a predicted model, not a curated record
UUUCCAAGUAGAACAUGGAGAAUAGAGGUUUUAUCAAUUCUGAAAUUCGGUAUGUCCUGCUUUUGAAUCUUCACUGCUUUCAUGACAUCCUUGGUCACUCUACCUUGCUUGAACAAAUAUAACAUGUGUCGAGUUAACUUAAGGGCAAGAUGUAAGUGUACCGACUGACAGAUUAGAGAGAAGAGUCAAACUCACUUUUAUGGUUUGACAUCAAACCAUUUGUAUCUUGGUUCCUCAACACCAAUGAUUCCAAGACAUACACAUGGUGUAUGAUUACGAAAGUCACAGUAGUAACCAGACCAAACCAUGUCUCUUGUUAUUUUUAGUCAUACACAAUCGCGUGAAGGAAUUUUUCUGGACGUGAAAGAACAGUUGAUUGGGAGUAGUUGGAUUUCACAUAUGAAUCUUGAGAAGAAAUCACAUUAGUUGAUUCAUCAUUUUCAAUGGACGUCAACAAUUAUUUUCAUGAUAUCAGUCAUAUGAAGAGUGUUAAAUAUGAGAAGCAAUGUCCAUUGAUAAACUUAGGCAAGGAAAGUACCUAAAACUCUACUUAUUCUUGUUUGAAUAGGUUUGUCCCUUGAGAAUUAAUGCAUGUGUGUGUGCAUUGUUUGAAUAAGGUACUUGGAGCUCAUGAUAAAAGUCUGGUCGUGGAUCAAACCUUUUGAUGAUGGCAGGAUGUCAGAAGAAAGGAGGAGACAAAGAACCAGCCACAUUGAGACUUCCAAGCAGUUUUGAGUGUGAAACAAGGAAGGCAUUGGUGCCUGCUUGCCAUUGAAGUAAGACUAUGAUCCAGGGUUUAUGAGUCCCUAAACUUGAUUAUAAGACUCAUAAACCCACUGGCUAAUCCCUAGGCUGUGGGUGGUUACACUUUUUUUUCCUAAGUGAUGGUUUUAUCCCAUGAGGUUUUCCACACUUAGGUUUUUAAUGAGGCAAGUGCUCUCAGUUCCAAGCUUUUCCAAGGAUCUCCUAUGGCCAAGCUUGAGUUGGAGUGUUGACAUGAAGCAAUAAAAAGCAAGAGUAAAGACAUGAAGAACCUGAUUGAUCAUGGACAGGAUAUCAUGGACAGAGGAUCAUGGACAGGAAAUCAUGGACAUGAAAACUGAGGCAAAGAAUGAGUUGUGGAGACUAAUAUGGACAUUAGGAACCUCUAAGAAGUCAAGGUAACCAGUUUGAAUUCAAAAGAAAAGAUCUGGUUUGAAUUAGACAAGAAGUCACAUGUGUUGCUUUGGAGAAGCAGCUGGACUGGUCACUUUCACUCGAGCGGGCUGUGCCAACCUCUCUCGUGUCCCUUUUUUCUCAUCUGGUCAUGCCUUCCCUUGUCCAUAUUCUCCUUUGGCCUCAUCUCAUUCCCUAGAGAAUUAUUUAUUUAUGUUUAUCUUGCUUAGUAAUUGUUUAAUCAUGUGUAUUGCCUAUUUAAAGGCUUCUCCAUCACUUGUAACAUAACAUCAAGAAUCAAUAUACAAGUUUCUCUCAGUCUAAAUUUAUGGCUCUCUCUCUCUAUCUUGUGUCUAAACAAUAUUCACAAUGUAGAGAGUUAAGCAUUAUGGUUUAGAGGCUGCCUUAACUCUUUCUCUCUUAACGCAGCUUAAUACUUGUAAACUCAUUCUAGUAUAUCAAAACAAAUUUCAAACAUUGGCUUCAAGUAUUUUUUUUUCUUUCUCUUUGUUGUGAUAGCAGUUGGGACACCAAAACACACGAUGGCAGCCCCUGUCAAGAAUUGCUGAGCGCAGGCAUAACGUGCAUCAGCCAUGAGCGACCCAAUUCUCUCUGGUUGCCACAAUGACAGGGGAACCGGCUAGCAGGAAAGAUAUCGGAACACUUUUUGGUACAUAUCUGCCUCCUCUAUAUGGCAAACCGCUGCAGCAUCCCAUAAGAAAAGCUGCAGAACAUCUGUCCAUAUUCUCUACUUUGCGCAUGGGAAUAUAUUGAAAAAUGUCAUGAUGGAAACAAACUCACUUUCAAAGGCAAUUGAGAAGAAAGAAGAAACUCGACCAUUUUCUUUUCUUAUGUUAAAAAAAAAAGAAAAUGUUUUUAAAAAAUUGUAAAAUUACAGAAGUUUUAAAAAAAUGUUUUUUCUUUGGGGUUUGUGAUUUUUUUAUUUUGUUUUAUUAUUUGUGUGUUUUGAGGGGACGUGACAUCUCUCAUCUGCUGUCUCUGCAUCAUCUUCUCUUUUGUAUUACUCAAAUGAUUUUAUAAGAUUAAUGAAAGGAAUGUUAUUAUUCA